RNAcentral lists this long non-coding RNA (1650 nucleotides) under Piliocolobus tephrosceles (Ugandan red Colobus). RNAcentral's name for it is "lncRNA (ENSPTEG00000003148.1)". Lineage: Eukaryota; Metazoa; Chordata; Mammalia; Primates; Cercopithecidae. The record is from RNAcentral.
AAUUUUAUUUUUUUAUUUAUUUUUUUUUUUUUGUAAUUAUUGUUUUUAGUAUUUUUUUUUUUUAUUGCUUACAUUGCAAGUACUUUUUUUUUAUAUGAUAACUUUUUAACGUCAUUACUUUAAUAUUUAAAAAUAUAAUUGUUUUAUUGUUUAUUAAUAAGAAAAAUAUUAAUUAGAUUACUAUAAAAUUUAUAUUAUGAAAAAUAUAUAAGUUUAGAUAUAACUAAAAAAAAUACAUUUAAUCUAGAAUAAUAUAUAAUUAUAUAAAAAAAUCUACAUGUAACGCAUAAAACUAUUGAAAAACAUUCAAUAACAUCAUUAUUACAUCGCAAUUUAUGAUACAAAAAUGUUUACUAUAAUUUAUAAAAUAAUUAUUGUUUUCUUUUUUCUAUGGAGAUGGACUAAUAACAUCAAGGCAAACAAAGAAAAUAUACUUAGAGUAGAAUAUGGUAGAUCAUUGGCUGAAUAUGAUAUCUACCUGGACGAACCUAAUGUUCCUUCUUAUAUAACAGUUUAUGAAAACAAAAAAAGUGAUGAAUUUAGUAAAAAUAUCGAAAGUGUUGCAAACAAAAAAAGUGAUGAAUUUAGUAAAAAUAUCGAAAAUGUUGUAAAUUUUGAAAAUAUCGAAAAUGUUGAAAAUGUUGAAAACAAAAAAAGUGAUGAAUUUAGUAAAAAUAUCGAAAAUGUUGAAAAUAUCGAAAAUGUUGUAAAUUUUGAAAAUGUUGUAAAUUUUGAAAAUAUCGAAAAUGUCGAAAAUGUUAAAAAUGUCGAAAAUGUUAAAAAUGUUGAAAAUGUUGAAAAUAUCGAAAAUAUCGAAAAUGUUGAAAAUAUCGAAAAUAUCGAAAAUAUCGAAAAUGUUGAAAAUAAAAGCAAUGUAAAAACCUUGAAAAAUGAAGACUAUAAUGAAAAAAAAUCAAUUUAUUUAUCCGAUAUGAAGCAAGAAUUAAUUAAAAUAUUAUCUAACAAAAAUGAAACUAAAAAUAUACUAAAAGAAACAACAAAUAUACAAGAAAAAGAUUUACUAGAAAUAUAUGAUCUUAUUAAACAUGUCAUUCCAACUGACAAAUAUUUACAAACUAUAAAAAAUAGUUGUGACAAAUCAAAAAAAAAACAUCUUGAUGAUAAGUACUAUGUUGAAACAUACUACAACUCAAUAUUAUACUUAUUGCGCACGUACUUCUUUCUUACUAACAGUAAAAGAAAAAGUUAUUUAACAUCUAAUAACAAUAAAUUUAAAAGUGAAUAUUUAAAAAAAUUUAAACUCAUAAACAUAAUAGAUAAACUAUUUAAGACUAAUUUACUUAAACAAAUGAUAAACAAGGAAAUAAAUCCAAGUGUAAAAAUGGCAUAUAAAAAACGUUUUAAGUUAUUUAGUUAUGCAUUCUUUUAUCCAAUAUUAAUAUACGUAAUUUCAAUUUUUACCAUACCUUUGGGGUCACUUCCUAUUACAUUUACAUUACUAGGGCUGUAUACAUCCUUAUGUAUACACUCUAAUUAUAAAUUCAUUAAAGACAUACAUUUUAUGCAACGAAUUAUGCAAAGGUCAGAACUAUUAAACAGAGAAUAUUUUAGUUAAGUAUAUGUACCAAAUAGUUGCAUAAAAAGUAUGUCAUUAAUAAAAAAUAAAUAAAACUUUUUUUUAUUUAAAUA